This 1038-nucleotide ribosomal RNA is filed under the name Parascutigera nubila. Its description in RNAcentral is "SSU rRNA". It matches the Rfam family "Eukaryotic small subunit ribosomal RNA", at positions 24 to 1049 of the family's 1831-position model. The record is from RNAcentral. Lineage: Eukaryota; Metazoa; Arthropoda; Chilopoda; Scutigeromorpha; Scutigeridae.
UCAUAUGCUUGUCUCAAAGAUUAAGCCAUGCAUGUCUAAGUACUAGCCACUUGACGGUGAAACCGCGAAUGGCUCAUUAAAUCAGUUAUGGUUCCUUAGAUCGUACCAUCCUACUUGGAUAACUGUGGUAAUUCUAGAGCUAAUACAUGCCGAUCAGCUCUGACCUUCGGGGACGAGCGCAUUUAUUAGAACAAGACCAAUACGGGCUGGAAACAGUCCGUUCCCAUUUGGUGACUCUGAAUAACCUUGAGCCGAUCGCACGGUCUCGCACCGGCGACGCAUCUUUCAAAUGUCUGCCUUAUCAACUGUCGACGGUAGGUUAUGGGCCUACCAUGGUAGUAACGGGUAACGGGGAAUCAGGGUUCGAUUCCGGAGAGGGAGCCUGAGAAACGGCUACCACAUCCAAGGAAGGCAGCAGGCACGCAAAUUACCCACUCCCGGCACGGGGAGGUAGUGACGAAAAAUAACAAUGCGGGACUCUUCCGAGGCCCCGUAAUUGGAAUGAGUACACUUUAAAUCCUUUAACGAGGACCUAUUGGAGGGCAAGUCUGGUGCCAGCAGCCGCGGUAAUUCCAGCUCCAAUAGCGUAUAUUAAAGUUGUUGCGGUUAAAAAGCUCGUAGUUGGAUCUCGGUGCCGGACCGGCGGUCCGCCUCGCCGCGGUAUUACUGCCGGCCCCGGAGCCAUCACGCCGGCCGUCCCUAGGUGCUCUUCACUGAGUGUCUUGGGUGACCGGAACGUUUACUUUGAACAAAUUAGAGUGCUCCAAGCAGGCGUGUUUCGCCCGCAUACUUCAGCAUGGAAUAAUGGAAUAGGACCUCGGUUCUAUUGCGUUGGUUUUCGGAACCCGAGGUAAUGAUUAAUAGGGACAGGCGGGGGCAUUCGUAUUGCGACGCUAGAGGUGAAAUUCUUGGACCGUCGCAAGACGAACAACUGCGAAAGCAUUUGCCAAGAAUGUUUUCAUUAAUCAAGAACGAAAGUUAGAGGUUCGAAGGCGAUCAGAUACCGCCCUAGUUCUAACCAUAAACGAUGCCAACCAG